Molecule: small nucleolar RNA, 131 nt
Organism: Phyllostomus discolor (pale spear-nosed bat)
Lineage: Eukaryota; Metazoa; Chordata; Mammalia; Chiroptera; Phyllostomidae
Product: small nucleolar RNA SNORA70
Exons: 1
Source: RefSeq, a predicted model, not a curated record
CUAUAGCUAGGCUGACCAUGCUCUUUCCCCCAAUGGGAGCCCAGUGUACAAUGGCUGCAAACAGCAGCAUUUUCAGUAGUGUAUGUAGCCAGUUGCUUCUAUGGGCUGCCCUAGGGACUUUGGAGACAGCC